RNAcentral lists this ribosomal RNA (492 nucleotides) under uncultured bacterium. Its description in RNAcentral is "partial 16S ribosomal RNA". It matches the Rfam family "Bacterial small subunit ribosomal RNA", at positions 29 to 507 of the family's 1533-position model. The record is from RNAcentral.
AGUGAACGCUGGCGGUAUGCCUAACACAUGCAAGUCGAACGGCAGCACAGUAAGAGCUUGCUCUUACGGGUGGCGAGUGGCGGACGGGUGAGGAAUACAUCGGAAUCUACUUUUUCGUGGGGGAUAACGUAGGGAAACUUACGCUAAUACCGCAUACGACCUACGUGUGAAAGCAGGGGAUCUUCGGACCUUGCGCGAUUGAAUGAGCCGAUGUCGGAUUAGCUAGUUGGCGGGGUAAAGGCCCACCAAGGCGACGAUCCGUAGCUGGUCUGAGAGGAUGUUCAGCCACACUGGAACUGAGACACGGUCCAGACUCCUACGGGAGGCAGCAGUGGGGAAUAUUGGACAAUGGGCGCAAGCCUGAUCCAGCCAUCCCGCGUGGGUGAAGAAGGCCUUCGGGUUGUAAAGCCCUUUUGUUGGGAAAGAAAAGCAGCAGGUUAAUACCCCGAUGUUCUGACGGUACCAAAAGAAUAAGCACCGGCUAACUUCGUG